RNAcentral lists this ribosomal RNA (561 nucleotides) under uncultured bacterium. RNAcentral's name for it is "bacterial SSU rRNA". It matches the Rfam family "Bacterial small subunit ribosomal RNA", at positions 41 to 611 of the family's 1533-position model. The record is from RNAcentral.
GGCGCACAUAAGACAUGCAAGUCGAACGAACUUAACCAUUAGUUUACUAUUGGAGCGGUUAGUGGCGGACUGGUGAGUAACACGUAAGCAACCUGCCUAUCAGAGGGGAACGACAGUUAGAAAUGACUGCUAAUACCGCAUAUGCCUUAGUAACACAUGUUACAAAAGGGAAAGGAGCAAUCCGCUGAUAGAUGGGCUUGCGUCUGAUUAGCUAGUUGGUGGGGUAACGGCCUACCAAGGCAACGAUCAGUAGCCGAACUGAGAGGUUGAACGGCCACAUUGGGACUGAGAUACGGCCCAGACUCCUACGGGAGGCAGCAGUCGGGAAUAUUGCGCAAUGGAGGAAACUCUGACGCAGUGACGCCGCGUGCAGGAAGAAGGUUUUCGGAUUGUAAACUGCUUUAGACAGGGAAGAAACAAGACAGUACCUGUAGAAUAAGCUCCGGCUAACUACGUGCCAGCAGCCGCGGUAAUACGUAGGGAGCAAGCGUUAUCCGGAUUUAUUGGGUGUAAAGGGUGCGUAGACGGGAAGGCAAGUUGGUUGUGAAAUCCCUCGGCUUA